CUUUCACAUCUGAAAUCAUACAAUACUAUCCCAAGAAUGAGGUCGAACCACGCCGCCAUGUUUCUGGCUAGAAUUUUGUCAAAUUCUUCAUCUAAAUUCUCCACUUUUGCCAUCGCUUCUCCACAUUAUCAAUCAUUUCUUGUACCCAGUUUUCAUUUUGAUAAUGCCAGCUGCCAAAUGAGACACUUCUCCGCCUAUCCCAGAUUCGAUUUUGGAUCUAUACGUGAGCCCAACGAUGC
Molecule: long non-coding RNA, 239 nt
Filed under: Salvia miltiorrhiza (redroot sage)
Lineage: Eukaryota; Viridiplantae; Streptophyta; Magnoliopsida; Lamiales; Lamiaceae
Description: long non-coding RNA (SMIL_LNC001880)
Source: RNAcentral